UAGGGAAUCUUCGGCAAUGGGGGGAACCCUGACCGAGCAACGCCGCGUGAGUGAAGAAGGUUUUCGGAUCGUAAAGCUCUGUUGUUAAGGAAGAACGAGUGUGAGAAUGGAAAGUUCAUACUGUGACGGUACUUAACCAGAAAGGGACGGCUAACUACGUGCCAGCAGCCGCGGUAAUACGUAGGUCCCGAGCGUUGUCCGGAUUUAUUGGGCGUAAAGCGAGCGCAGGCGGUUAGAUAAGUCUGAAGUUAAAGGCAGUGGCUCAACCAUUGUAGGCUAUGGAAACUGUUUAACUUGAGUGCAGAAGGGGAGAGUGGAAUUCCAUGUGUAGCGGUGAAAUGCGUAGAUAUAUGGAGGAACACCGGUGGCGAAAGCGGCUCUCUAGUCUGUAACUGACGCUGAUGCUCGAAAGCGUGGGGAGCGAACAGG
RNAcentral lists this ribosomal RNA (429 nucleotides) under Bacteroidota bacterium. RNAcentral describes it as "Bacteroidetes bacterium partial 16S ribosomal RNA". It matches the Rfam family "Bacterial small subunit ribosomal RNA", at positions 355 to 776 of the family's 1533-position model. The record is from RNAcentral. Lineage: Bacteria; Pseudomonadati; Bacteroidota.